Molecule: ribosomal RNA, 432 nt
Filed under: Theileria ovis
Lineage: Eukaryota; Apicomplexa; Aconoidasida; Piroplasmida; Theileriidae
Description: SSU rRNA
Rfam family: Eukaryotic small subunit ribosomal RNA
Source: RNAcentral
CGGGGCUUAAUGUCUUGUAAUUGGAAUGAUGGGAAUUUAAACCUCUUCCAGAGUAUCAAUUGGAGGGCAAGUCUGGUGCCAGCAGCCGCGGUAAUUCCAGCUCCAAUAGCGUAUAUUAAAAUUGUUGCAGUUAAAAAGCUCGUAGUUGAAUUUCUGCUGCAUUGCUUUUGCUCCUUUACGAGUCUUUGCAUUGUGGCUUAUUUCGGACUUUGUUUUACAAUGUCCGGAUGUUUACUUUGAGAAAAUUAGAGUGCUCAAAGCAGGCUUUCGCCUUGAAUAGUUUAGCAUGGAAUAAUAAAGUAGGACUUUGGUUCUAUUUUGUUGGUUUUAGGUACCAAAGUAAUGGUUAAUAGGAACAGUUGGGGGCAUUCGUAUUUAACUGUCAGAGGUGAAAUUCUUAGAUUUGUUAAAGACGAACUACUGCGAAAGCAU